This 433-nucleotide ribosomal RNA is filed under the name uncultured bacterium. Its description in RNAcentral is "bacterial SSU rRNA". It matches the Rfam family "Bacterial small subunit ribosomal RNA", at positions 29 to 507 of the family's 1533-position model. The record is from RNAcentral.
AACGAACGCUGGCGGCAGGCCUAACACAUGCAAGUCGAACGCUUCAGCAAUGAAGAGUGGCAGACGGGUGAGUAACGCGUGGGAACCUUCCCAGUGGUACGGAAUAGCCCAGGGAAACUUGGGGUAAUACCGUAUAAGCCCUUAGGGGGAAAGAUUUAUCGCCAUUGGAUGGGCCCGCGUCGGAUUAGCUUGUUGGUGAGGUAAAAGCUCACCAAGGCGACGAUCCGUAGCUGGUCUGAGAGGAUGAUCAGCCACACUGGGACUGAGACACGGCCCAGACUCCUACGGGAGGCAGCAGUGGGGAAUAUUGGACAAUGGGCGCAAGCCUGAUCCAGCCAUGCCGCGUGAGUGACGAAGGCCUUAGGGUUGUAAAGCUCUUUUGGCGGGGACGAUAAUGACGGUACCCGCAGAAUAAGCUCCGGCUAACUUCGUG